GUCACCAUCGAUGAUUUUUGCCCGGCAAUUCCGAGCUCUUGCCGCGCAGCACUCUCCCGCAGCUCCAUUGCCCGCCCUUAGCACAAGGUACUCCUUUUACAGGAAAAGCUCUUUUUUUCUUCUUCUAAUGCUAGUUCUUGGGAUGUUCUUACCAGCUUCGAUGAUCCCUCGUCGUCGCCAUGCCGGCAAUUCCAAGCUUUCCGCGCAGCACUCUCCAAGCUCCAAUCUUAAGGUCACUCUUUACAACAAAAACUCUUUUUUCUUCCUUCUAAUGCUCUAGUUCUUGGGGAUGUUCUUGCCAACUAUCUUGGCGGGCGUGAUUCUCAACAGGUUGCCACGCUUGCCAGGAACAGCGCCCUUGACGAGCACUGCCCGCAGCUCCGGGUCGAUUUUGAUGAUCUCGAGCUUGCGGAUCUUUG
RNAcentral lists this long non-coding RNA (419 nucleotides) under Selaginella moellendorffii. RNAcentral's name for it is "long non-coding RNA (SMOE_LNC002287)". Lineage: Eukaryota; Viridiplantae; Streptophyta; Lycopodiopsida; Selaginellales; Selaginellaceae. The record is from RNAcentral.